GUCUAUGGCCAUACCAAUCUGAAUGUGCCAGAGAUCAAACGAGAUCCUGUGCCUGAUCUGGGAAGCUAAGUAGGUUCGGGCCUGGUUAGUACUUUAAUGGGAGGAGGCUACAGCUGGGAUAUAAAUU
RNAcentral lists this ribosomal RNA (127 nucleotides) under Meriones unguiculatus (Mongolian gerbil). The record is from RNAcentral. Lineage: Eukaryota; Metazoa; Chordata; Mammalia; Rodentia; Muridae.